AAGUCGUAACAAGGUUUCCGUAGGUGAACCUGCGGAAGGAUCAUUAUUGAAUGAACUUGGCGUGGUUGUCGCUGGCCCUCUCGGGGGUAUGUGCACGCCCGUCAUCUUUAUUUUUCCACCUGUGCACACUUUGUAGACUUGAAUAGUAUUUUCUGAGGCAACUCAGUCGGGAGGAUUGCUGGUAUUAUCAGCUUUCCUUGCAUUAUUCAAGCCUAUGUUUUCAUAUACCCCAAAAAUGUAACAGAAUGUAUCAUUGGGCCUUGUGCCUAUAAACUAUAUACAACUUUCAGCAACGGAUCUCUUGGCUCUC
Molecule: unclassified non-coding RNA, 310 nt
Filed under: Galerina hygrophila
Lineage: Eukaryota; Fungi; Basidiomycota; Agaricomycetes; Agaricales; Galerinaceae
Description: partial internal transcribed spacer region
Rfam family: Eukaryotic small subunit ribosomal RNA (bases 1-46)
Source: RNAcentral